Homo sapiens (human) is the source of this 2068-nucleotide long non-coding RNA. RefSeq lists it as uncharacterized. The transcript has 2 exons. NCBI's taxonomy places the organism in Eukaryota, Metazoa, Chordata, Mammalia, Primates, Hominidae. The record is from RefSeq and is a predicted model, not a curated record.
CUCCCUUUUAGCUGGGGGUGCGAGGGGCGGGGUGAGGGUGGGAGGACGUAUGGCAUAUCCCUAGGCAUGUGCUAAGAUACAGACCUGGGACCUCUCAGUUACAUGAUUGCCAGUUUCAUUGACCCCUUCCUCAGCCUCUAAGGAAAUUCAGGCCAGACUAAGAAAGGACUCAGGCUGGAGCAGGUCCCUGAGGGCUCAGCCACACUUGUGUAUACUCUGCCUGUCAGAGCUGGCCUGGCCACAGAUAUCAUCUAGGUCCCUGCCUACCCUGAAGCUCUGGAAUGGGCAUACAUUGAAGGAGGCAGACCUGGACUUCAGGGCUCUUGAUCCCAGUCUGACGUUCGUUCCACUACAAAAAGGGGGUCUGGAAUUCAUUUUCAGUAAUGAAGGCUUUCUCCAUGAAAUCUUAACCAUUAUAUAAAGCAGAACAGGUCUGCCUGAAGCGAGUUAGGGCAUCUAAAAGAUCACCAUCUUGGCCUCUGCCUUCCUGUCUCAGCCUUUAAGUCACUUCUAAUAAACCUGUCUUAUUUUUUACCGUUAGAUCUCAACAGGGGAAGUUGGUCCAGUGAGGUCCUAAGCCCAUGCAGAAGUGGCAGCUACUUCCCUCCAGCCUGUUUCACCCACUUCCUUCACCUUCCUCACUACAGCCAGAGACCUUUAAAAAACCCAGAUCAAGCUGGUUGUUAUGUGGAGAACAGGCUUGAGGAAGGCAAGAGUAAAGGCAGAGAGGCCUAUUAAGAAGACAUUGUUGGCUGGGCAUGGUGGCUUAUGUAUGUAUAAUCCCAGCACUUUGGGAGGUGGAGGCGAGAGGAUCGCCUGAGCCCAGGAGUUCGAGACCAGCCUGGGCAACAUAGUGGAACCCCAUCUCUACAAAAAAUAAAGGUAAAAAACCAGCCAGGUGUGAUGGUGCAUGCCUGUGGUCCCAACUACUUGGGAAGCUGAGGCAAGAGGAUCUCUUGAGUCCAAGAGGUUGAGGCUGCAGUGAACUGUGUUCACACCACAGAACUAUAGCCUGGGGCAACAUAACAAGACCUUGUCUCAAAAAAAAAAAAAAAAAAAAAAAAAGAUUGUUAUAGUCCAAGUGAGAGAUGACAUUGAGAAGUUGUGCUAAGUAUGGGUACUGUGUGUUCCAUACACCUAACACUCCUUCUUCCAACCUUCAGGCCCCAGGGAAACACUUUCCCACAUAUCUUGCCCUACAUCCUCAAAACAAAAAAUCAUGUAUUUUACAUAGAGUAAAAUGCUCACAUGUAAGUGCCUAGUUUGAGGAGCUUGCACAAGUGUAUACACCUCUGUAACCACCACCCAUUCAAGCAUGGGUAGAGACCAUUUCCAUCAUUUCCACCACAUGACUGUGUCUAAAGUUCUGUGGGUUGUGCUGCUGUUCACACCAGAAACAGCCACUGCUCUCGAGUAAGGAAAGCAAGUGAGUGGCAGAAGCUCUUGGGUAAGAAAAGCACACAUCAAUUAAUCCUGUGAAGUCUUUUCUCUCACAUAACAUGAAUGCCUAAUGGGGUAUCAUUUUCCAGAAAAGCAUUGUCCAUUUUCUUGCUUCUUUUUGUGUUCCGAUUUGUAGUUUUGGAGGAAUUCAGGAAUGGCUUACUAUUUGCAAUAGUUGCAUGUGGCAGCUCAUUAAUAUUAAACAAUAUUAAACAACUCAUACUACUCUAAUAUUGUAGUGUAGGUAGGUCUAGUUGUAGACCUACAUAUACAUGAUAUUGAUUCUUUAUGGACUUAGCUACUGUGUUAAGGAAUGAUGAAAAUUAUUAUAUGAGUGGUAGUGAUUUAUAUGAUGAAAUAAAAAUAGAAUGUAUUAUACGUAUUUACCAUUUUAUAAAUCUAUUUUAACAUAUAAAUAUAGUUUGUAUUGUGUAAUUAUGUGUUCCUAUAUUUGACCAUAAUAUAUAAAAUUCAUGCUACUUUUAAAAUCUAAUGUUACUUUAAGAUUUUUAUUGACAAUCCCUGUUGCUACUGCCUUAGCAGAGCAAACUUUUUCCAAAUUGAAAUCAAUGCCAAAAAAAAACCUCUAAAACUUACAGUGUCCCAAUAAAGGUUAUUUUGUUUUUGA